RNAcentral lists this ribosomal RNA (492 nucleotides) under uncultured bacterium. Its description in RNAcentral is "partial 16S ribosomal RNA". It matches the Rfam family "Bacterial small subunit ribosomal RNA", at positions 29 to 507 of the family's 1533-position model. The record is from RNAcentral.
AUUGAACGCUGGCGGCAUGCUUUACACAUGCAAGUCGAACGGUAACAGGCCUUCGGGUGCUGACGAGUGGCGAACGGGUGAGUAAUGCAUCGGAACGUACCCAGAGGUGGGGGAUAACGCAGCGAAAGCUGUGCUAAUACCGCAUGUGAUCUGAGGAUGAAAGCGGGGGACCGAGCAGCAAUGUUUGGCCUCGCGCCUUUGGAGCGGCCGAUGUCGGAUUAGCUAGUUGGUGGGGUAAAGGCCUACCAAGGCGACGAUCCGUAGCUGGUCUGAGAGGACGACCAGCCACACUGGGACUGAGACACGGCCCAGACUCCUACGGGAGGCAGCAGUGGGGAAUUUUGGACAAUGGGCGCAAGCCUGAUCCAGCAAUGCCGCGUGCGGGAGGAAGGCCUUCGGGUUGUAAACCGCUUUUGGCAGGAACGAAACGGUGUCCGCUAAUACCGGGCGCUAAUGACGGUACCUGCAGAAUAAGCACCGGCUAACUACGUG